This 955-nucleotide long non-coding RNA is filed under the name Androctonus crassicauda. Lineage: Eukaryota; Metazoa; Arthropoda; Arachnida; Scorpiones; Buthidae. The record is from RNAcentral.
UUUCUCUAGUCUGGAUACAUCAAAUAUUUUCUCAAUUCUCUGAUAAUAUCUUUUUGAGGAAGAUCUUUUUACCUUUUUUAAUGGUUUUAUUAUUAUAAUUAAGAAUAUUUCAAUAUGUGUCCCAUUUAUCUAUUUUUUUAACUUUAUUAAUAAAGCUUUGUAAUUUAAUCUAAGAUUGCUAAGCUAUUUAUUCCACCAAGAAGACUGCCUUGAUGAGCCAGAAGUCUCAAUUGGACACUUUUGAUGGUAGGAUAAGAAAAUUGCCUGACAAAUCUUGUCAACAAUCAUCUCUACAUCCAUCACAGAGCAAAACUUGCUCUGAAAAUGCCCUCAAGGUUAAACUUAAGAUCCUCUCUAAAAGAAACCUAGUUAUUUCUACUUGGAUUUCUGUAUGUUAUCUGAGCGGGAUUGAAGCAAAUGUAUCUAUGAUCCAAAGUAGAUGAUUCAUAUUCUCAGUUAGAUCAAAAACAGUUUUAGUUCCUAAUGAUAGAUCAUUGACUUUCCUUCUAUUUUUAAUAAUAAAGGUAGAUUCAUUGCUCUUAUUUAAAACAAAAAGAUUAGUACAUAUUAGAAAUUCCAAUGAGUGAUCCCUCUUUGAGUGAUAUCCUGUUUUUCCACACUAUAUGAUGAGAAUUAGCAUUCAGUAAAUCAAAUUUGUUCUAUUAACAGAACUCUUCCAAAUGUUCUAGUGCCUCUAGUACUUAGAUUGUGUUAUUGUUUGUUUUUUACUAACCCUGUUGAGUAAUUAAACUAUAUAAUAAUCUUGAGAAAAACAAGGACUGUGAUCUCAUUAAUACUUUAACAGAAAUAUUCAGUCUAAUACAUCAUUUGAAUUCAACAUGGAUUCUGUGCUAUUGGAUGUGUGGAUGGAUUUAACUAUAUGCAUAGGUGAAUGAUGAUGCCUGUGUAGCAGUACUCAAAAUAAAAUCUUUUUUUAAAAUAUAUUUGUAAUGUC